This 616-nucleotide ribosomal RNA is filed under the name Exophiala sp. RNAcentral describes it as "eukaryotic LSU rRNA". It matches the Rfam family "Eukaryotic large subunit ribosomal RNA", at positions 40 to 667 of the family's 3401-position model. The record is from RNAcentral. Lineage: Eukaryota; Fungi; Ascomycota; Eurotiomycetes; Chaetothyriales; Herpotrichiellaceae.
AUAUCAAUAAGCGGAGGAAAAGAAACCAACAGGGAUUGCCUCAGUAACGGCGAGUGAAGCGGCAACAGCUCAAAUUUGAAAUCUGGCCUCUUUGGGGUCCGAGUUGUAAUUUGUAGAGGAUGUUUCGGGUACCGCCUCGGUCUAAAUUUCUUGGAACAGAAUGUCAGAGAGGGUGAGAAUCCCGUCUUGGACCGGCGGUAGGGCCCAUGUGAAACUCCUUCGACGAGUCGAGUUGUUUGGGAAUGCAGCUCAAAAUGGGUGGUAUAUUUCAUCUAAAGCUAAAUAUUGGCCAGAGACCGAUAGCGCACAAGUAGAGUGAUCGAAAGAUGAAAAGAACUUUGAAAAGAGAGUUAAACAGUAUGUGAAAUUGUUGAAAGGGAAGCGCUUGCAACCAGACUUGAGCGCGGCGGUUCCCCCUUCCUUUUGGUUGGGUUACUCCGUCGUGUCCAGGCCAACAUCGGUUCUGGGGGUCGGUUAAAGGCCUGGGGAAUGUAUCUACGUCUUCGGGCGUAGACUUAUAGCCCCGGGUGUCAUGCGACCUCCCGGGACCGAGGAACGCGCUUCGGCUCGGAUGUUGGCGUAAUGGUUGUAAGCGACCCGUCUUGAAACACGGACC